RNAcentral lists this ribosomal RNA (259 nucleotides) under uncultured bacterium. Its description in RNAcentral is "partial 16S ribosomal RNA". It matches the Rfam family "Bacterial small subunit ribosomal RNA", at positions 113 to 353 of the family's 1533-position model. The record is from RNAcentral.
GCACGUAAACAACCUGCCUUCAGGAUGGGGACAACAGACGGAAACGACUGCUAAUACCGAAUAAGUUCCAAGAGCCGCAUGGCCCAUGGAAGAAAAGGUGGCCUCUACCUGUAAGCUAUCGCCUGAAGAGGGGUUUGCGUCUGAUUAGCUGGUUGGAGGGGUAACGGCCCACCAAGGCGACGAUCAGUAGCCGGUCUGAGAGGAUGAACGGCCACACUGGAACUGAGACACGGUCCAGACUCCUACGGGAGGCAGCAUG